GUCCUAUCAUUUCUGCAUUAUGCUGACUGUACUCCCCUGCUCCUCUGUCCUUUUGUCCCUUGAAUUGUCAUUCUGAUCUAUAGUCUUCAUCAGAUUCAAGUUCAAUUUCUGUGGCAAAACUACUUCACUGAUGAUGUAUUCUUUACCAAAAGGCAUUAAUGUCUGAUUUUAUUCUUUUUAUGAGGUUAAUAGAUACUGAUGUUCCCUAAAACUCUGUUAUUAGGGAAGAACAAAUGUGUAAGUAACUAUGCACGUCUUGACGGUACCUAAUCAGAAAGCCACGGCUAACUACGUGCCAGCAGCCGCGGUAAUACGUAGGUGGCAAGCGUUAUCCGGAAUUAUUGGUCGACGCGGCCG
This 357-nucleotide ribosomal RNA is filed under the name uncultured bacterium. RNAcentral describes it as "partial 16S ribosomal RNA". It matches the Rfam family "Bacterial small subunit ribosomal RNA", at positions 61 to 571 of the family's 1533-position model. The record is from RNAcentral.